CUGCAGCUCAAGUGGUGAUCAUUAUUAUUGGGCCUAAAACGUCCGUAGCCUGUUUAGUAAAUGCCUGGGUAAAUCGUGUAGCUUAACUAUACGAAUUCCGGGUAGACUGCUAAACUUGAGACCGGGAGAGGCUAGAGGUACUCCUGGGGUAGAGGUGAAAUUCUGUAAUCCUAGGGGGACCACUAGUGGCGAAGGCGUCUAGCUAGAACGGGUCUGACGGUGAGGGACGAAGCCCUGGGGCACAAACCGGAUUAGAUACCCGAGUAGUCC
This 270-nucleotide ribosomal RNA is filed under the name uncultured archaeon. Its description in RNAcentral is "partial 16S ribosomal RNA". It matches the Rfam family "Archaeal small subunit ribosomal RNA", at positions 477 to 747 of the family's 1478-position model. The record is from RNAcentral.